This 520-nucleotide ribosomal RNA is filed under the name uncultured bacterium. RNAcentral describes it as "bacterial SSU rRNA". It matches the Rfam family "Bacterial small subunit ribosomal RNA", at positions 15 to 518 of the family's 1533-position model. The record is from RNAcentral.
GAUUAUGGCUCAGGACGAACGCUGGCGGCGUGCCUAACACAUGCAAGUCGAGCGGGGACAUACGACGGAUCGGAAGUUUCGGAUGGAAGAGAAGAUGUAUGUUCUAGCGGCGGACGGGUGAGUAACGCGUGAGCAACCUGUCCUUCACAGGGGGAUAACACAGCGAAAGUUGUACUAAUACCGCAUGAGACCACACUGGGACAUCCCAGAGGGGUCAAAGGAGCAAUCCGGUGAAGGGUGGGCUCGCGUCCGAUUAGAUAGCUGGUGAGGUAACGGCCCACCAAGUCGACGAUCGGUAGCCGACCUGAGAGGGUGAUCGGCCACAUUGGGACUGAAGACACGGCCCAAACUCCUACGGGAGGCAGCAGGUGGGGAAUAUUGGGCAAAGUGGGGGAAACCCUGACCCAGCAACGCCGCGGUGGGGGAAGAAGGUUUUCGGAUCGUAAACCUCUGUCCUUGGUGAAGAGUGAGAGACGGUAGCCAAGGAGGAAGCCCCGGCUAACUACGUGCCAGCCGCCGC